UAGAGUGUUGAGAUUGUGUUU
Caenorhabditis elegans is the source of this 21-nucleotide non-coding RNA. The record is from Ensembl. Lineage: Eukaryota; Metazoa; Nematoda; Chromadorea; Rhabditida; Rhabditidae.